UAAUAAUUAUAGGUAUCGACCCAUAGAAGGUGAAAGUCCUGUAUGUGAUGAAACUAGAAAAGUAAUUAAGUAAUAUGAGGACGUCAGCCUUGUAUGAAUAAGGGGGUACCAUCCUCCAAGGCUAAGUAUAACAUAUCUAGCGAUAGUGAAGAGUAACGUGAGUGAAAGGUGAAAAGUAAGUAGAUGACUAGUGAAAUAGAACCUGAACUAGUAAUCCUAUAAGCAGUUGGAGUUUUUAGUAAAAAUGACAACGUACCUUUUGCAUAAUGGGUCAGCGAGUUAGUUUAUAGAGCAAGAUGAAUAAUCUAAGCGAAAGCGACUGUAAUAAGUGGAUCAAAAAUAGUUUUAUGAACUAGACCCGAAGCCAAAUGAUCUUACCAUGACCAGGCUAAAAAAGGGCCGAACAGGUGAAUGUUGCAAAAUUCUCUGAUGAGUUGUGGUAAGGGGUGAAAGGCCAAUCUAAUUUGGAUGAUAGCUGGUAUUCUGCGAAACCUAUUUAGGUAGGGCCUUUAUUUACACUUUUAUAUGUACAGCACUGAUCAUCAUACAUUAGCUAGAUAUUUAUAUCACUAUGUUAAAUUGGGGGGUCUCACAACUCUACCAUUGAUGGUUAACCUCGGAAGGAUAAUAGUGAAUGAUAAAGGCACAGUCUAUUCAUGAUAAGGUGGAUAGACAAAAGGGAAACAGCCCAGAGCACGUGUUAAGGUCCCAAAAUAUUGUUAAGUGAAUAUAAGAAAGUUUAACUCCUAAUACAACCAUGAAGUAGGCUUGGAGGUAGCCAUCUUUUAAUGAUAGUGUAACAACUCAGUGGUCUAAUUUGAGGAGAGAAGCGUCGAAAAUUAACGGGUCUUAGACAAUAUACCUACACCGUGACUAUUUAUAAUAAUAUCUAUUUUUAUUAUAAAUAAGGGUAGCAGAACACUCAGUAUCUGAUUGAAGGAAAAUGUUUCAUUUUCUGGACAGUACUGAAGAGAAAAUGCUGACAUGAGUAACGUAGAAAGGAGUUAAA
Molecule: non-coding RNA, 1009 nt
Filed under: Moesziomyces antarcticus
Lineage: Eukaryota; Fungi; Basidiomycota; Ustilaginomycetes; Ustilaginales; Ustilaginaceae
Description: Pseudozyma antarctica Bacterial large subunit ribosomal RNA
Rfam family: Bacterial large subunit ribosomal RNA
Source: Rfam by way of RNAcentral